RNAcentral lists this ribosomal RNA (253 nucleotides) under uncultured bacterium. RNAcentral describes it as "partial 16S ribosomal RNA". It matches the Rfam family "Bacterial small subunit ribosomal RNA", at positions 524 to 776 of the family's 1533-position model. The record is from RNAcentral.
UACGUAGGGUGCAAGCGUUAAUCGGAAUUACUGGGCGUAAAGCGUGCGCAGGCGGUUUUGUAAGCCAGAUGUGAAAUCCCCGGGCUUAACCUGGGAAUGGCAUUUGGGACUGCAAGGCUCGAGUGCGGCAGAGGAGACUGGAAUUCCUGGUGUAGCAGUGAAAUGCGUAGAUAUCAGGAGGAACACCGAUGGCGAAGGCAGCCCCCUGGGCUAGCACUGACGCUCAGGCACGAAAGCGUGGGGAGCAAACAGG